Long non-coding RNA from Bombus huntii, 597 nucleotides. RefSeq lists it as uncharacterized. NCBI's taxonomy places the organism in Eukaryota, Metazoa, Arthropoda, Insecta, Hymenoptera, Apidae. The transcript has 3 exons. The record is from RefSeq and is a predicted model, not a curated record.
AUUUAUAUAUGUAAAAAUUUAUAACAUAGUAUGCAGAAAUAUAUAAAAUAUCUAGUGUAAAAUAUUUAGAUUCCACUUCUUUAGUUAUAUUCGUAAAAAUUGUAUGAAUAUCAACAGUUUUCUAGUAACGGAUCCUGUGAUCUGUUUCUUCUUUAUUGUUUCGUACUUUCUCGGAGCUUAAUUCGCAAACACGCUGAGAUUCGUUAAGUAGCCGAUCUGCUAGUUCCUGCUGUGCUUCAGAACAUCGAUACCUAAUCAAUUGAAGUUAAAUACUCGUACCUGUGGCGAUUAUUUAGAUGCCAUUGAUGCAAACUAAAUUUCAAUGGAGGCGGUGGAGCUAUUUCAGGCGGUUGUUUGUUCGGCAUUGUAUUUUCCAAUUUUGAAAAUACUGUUGUGCUUCUGAAGGAUCAACGCUCUUUUAAAGAGGCGGGUUCACAGGUUUGAUCUAUAUAUGGAUGAAUCAGCGCAAGGAUGGUUUCCAUGGAAACAUUUAACCUAUUAAGAAAUGGUUUAUUUUAAUUCAUUCGCAAUGAGGAAAUUAUAUACUAAGCAUAAGACAUUGCCUGUAGCGAAAUAAAUCAUAUACUCUAUAUUAAU